GUAUUCAUUAAUAUCUAUUAAUAGGUCAUUCUCGUCAAUCCUUUUUAAAUAUGUAUUUUGGUUUUUAGUGAUCUCUUUAAAAAGAGGUACGUUGUUGUUCAUUAAUAUUGUUUUUUUAAAGAUAGAUUUUGGUUUUUAGUGAUCUCUUUACAAAUAGGUACGUUGUUGGUCAUUAGUUUUUAACUUUUACUUUGGUAUUUAUUUAUACCUAUUAAUAGGUCUUUCUUGUCUAUGUUUUUUUAACAUGUAUUUUGGUUUUCAGUGAUCUCUUUAAAAAGAGGUACGUUGUUGGUCAUUAAUAUUUAACUUUUUCCUUGGUGUUUAUUUAAACCUAUUAAUAGGUCUUUCUUGUCUCUGUUUUUUUUAAACAUGUAUUUUGGUUUUUAGUGAUCUCUUUAAAAAAGAGGUACGUUGUUGGUCAUUAAUAUUUAACUUUUUCUUUGGUAUUUAUUUAUACCUAUUAAUAGGUCUUUCUUGUCUAUGUUUUUUUAACAUGUAUUUUGGUUUUCAGUGAUCUCUUUAAAAAGAGGUACGUUAUUGGUCUUUAAUAUUUAACUUUUUCCUUGGUGUUUAUUUAAACCUAUUAAUAGGUCUUUCUUGUCUCUGUUUUUUUUAAACAUGUAUUUUGGUUUUUAGUGAUCUCUUUAAAAAGGGGUACGUUGUUGGUCAUUAAUAUUUAACUUUUUCUUUGGUUUUUAUUUAUACCUAUUAAUAGGUCUUGUUAGUCUAUGUUUUUUUAAACAUGGAUUUGGGUCUUUAGUGAUCUCUUUAAUAAGAUGUACGUUGUUAGUCAUUCAUAUUUAACUUUUAAUUUGGUAUUUAUUUUUAUCUAUUUAUGAGGUCUUUCUAGUCUAUAUUUUUUAUAACAUGUAUUUUGGUUUUCAGUGAACCCUUAACCAUAGACGUACAUUGGUGGUCAUUAGAUUUAACUUUUAAUUUGGUAUUCAUUAAUAUCUAUUAAUAGGUCAUUCUCGUCAAUCCUUUUUAAAUAUGUAUUUUGGUUUUUAGUGAUCUCUUUAAAAAGAGGUACGUUGUACGUUUGUUGGUCAUUAGUUUUUUAACUUUUACUUUGGUAUUUAUUUAUACCUAUUAAUAGGUCUUUCUUGUCUAUGUUUUUUUAACAUGUAUUUUGGUUUUCAGUGAUCUCUUUAAAAAGAGGUAC
This 1162-nucleotide long non-coding RNA is filed under the name Mytilus galloprovincialis (Mediterranean mussel). The record is from RNAcentral. Lineage: Eukaryota; Metazoa; Mollusca; Bivalvia; Mytilida; Mytilidae.